RNAcentral lists this long non-coding RNA (9313 nucleotides) under Musa acuminata (dwarf banana). RNAcentral's name for it is "long non-coding RNA (MACU_LNC001080)". The record is from RNAcentral. Lineage: Eukaryota; Viridiplantae; Streptophyta; Magnoliopsida; Zingiberales; Musaceae.
UAGUGCCGGAGUCGAUGAUCGUGCCACGGGACGAGAAAACCGAUGGCGAAAUGGCCAGUUGCUGCCCACCGACGCUGAUUCCGAUCAGGUCAACGAAGUAAAAGCUUGGAUGAUUGGAGCUGGUCUGCAUUCGAGUGUAAACGGUGUUGGAGGCAUCACCAGGUUCGCCCAGUUUCAGGAACCCGGUGGAGCUGGGAGUCGAAGGAAGGCAGUAGGAGAAGACCGAGUGGUAAACUUGCGACGUUUGGGACACCAGAGAGCGCUUGCCGCGGCCGAGACCCACGAGCCCUGCGGUGUCUUGGAACAGCCCUUCGUUGUCGGUGCCGCACCCGAAGAGGAAGUCCUCGAUCACGUCGUUUGGCGACAGCGUCAGUCUGUCGUAGCUGUAGACUCCUGAAGUGGUCGACCCAUCGCCGUAGGUGAUGCCAUAAGCGCAAGAGCUGGAGCAGCUGCUUCGGAGCUGACUGCAGUCCUGCGAGUUGCAAGGGAUCGCGGUGUAGGAGGAUGAUUGGGAUGGGUCAAAGAUCGGCUCCUGCUGCGAGUAGCACGCGGAGCAUGGUUUGCAUUGGAUCCAACUCAGGUCGCUCCCGGUGUCCAUCGUCACAGUCUGCUCUCGGCUGGGGGUGCCAUAGCCGACUGUGAUCACGUACUCCCCUCCUCCGUACUCCGCGGGGAUGCUUGCCUUGGAAUCAUCGACCUGUGGCUUGGCGGAAGACUUCAAGGCACUUCGCCGGAGAUAGUUGACUCUAAGUUGGUCUUUCAGAAGAAUCUCUUCUAGCGAUAGCAGUUUCUUGUCGUCGAAGGGGGAGCAGGGUCCAUGCCGAUGCACCAACGGGAAGGCGGUGAAGUUAGAUCCUGAGAAAGGCGAAACUAUCUUUUAAGGAAACUGUAUCAAAUGGUUUCAGCAAUUCAUGGGUAGCGGAGUAUGAGAUCUGCAGCCCAAAGAAAAGAUUGAUGCAAGAGAGCAACUGAGGUAUGACUGACCCUUGGACGAGGAGCAGACAACUUCGGGACUAGAAUUAUGAUUUCGAACCACGUGGUAGCUCUGAGCGUCUUCUCCGUUAGCAAGGGAAGAACAGUGACUCAGGAACAGAACAGAAGAGCAGAUUAAGAGAGCAGCCGAAGCCAUUUGCUGGGAAGAGACAAGCCCUGGGCGAAGGAUUGCAAUGGCAAUGCAUCCAAUUUAUAGAGACUUCAAAACCACUUUCUUUGUUCCACCAGAUUGGCCUCUGAUUUGAGUCAAGUAUGUCGACUAGUCGUUGACUUCAUAUUGACUGGCAUCGUCAAGUUCUUCCACACAAUCACGGAGCAAUUUAGGCUUAGUUUCGCAUUCCCACUGCAAAAUCCACGAAAUAAUUUGGUUUACGUCACAACGAUGAGAUCUAAAGGAAGACUUCGAACAGUUCAAAGUCGAAUAAUUAGAGCCACAACUCGAGUGCAAGACCGGAGAGAAGACUUUCAACAGUUCAACAUCUUGGUGUGAUUUCUUCACCGACCAAUCCUGACCGGCUCAUAAAUCGUCAACUAAUAACAACAACAACUAAAUGCUUCCUUAUGGCUGUUCUACGAGUCACCCAGGCGAGUGGAUCGGGAGCUAUUCGAGAGGGAAUUACACGGUAUACUUCCAUGUCCGCACGAACCAAAGUGCGCAAGAACAUGGACUCGUACUUCUGAAACCUGCAAUGAUAGAUCGAUAGCUCCGAUACUGUAUGUGAUGAACGGAUUGCACUAUGAGAAUAACUUCAGCUGGUCUGGUGUUGAAUCAAUGGUUGACAGCAGCAGAGGCUAAUCAAAAGAAGAAGACGAAGAGGAGGUACAGGCAGGGUAGGUGGCCGUGAAAGAGACACACUCCCAAAUGAUUGCGAAGGACAAGCUACUCCAAGUGACAUUAAAGAACUCGGCAACCAUGGCGUUUUCCAAUUAAUCAUGGACCAAUUUAGCUUUAUUUGGAGAGUAAAAUAGGAUGGAAAGUUAUCAGACUUGUAGAUCUUUAUGCAGACUAGAUGAGUUUAUUAUUAGUAACAUAUAUUUUCUACUCAUAUUAAGAUCUAUCAAAGUUGCAGAUGAUGUGAUUUAUAAGGAAAACAAUAUCACAACAGUUAUCCCUUUUAUUAAAAUUAUCACAAGUACAAGUUUGAAUUAUGAAUUAGACAUGAAUUUGCUAUUAGAUUUAAGCUUCCCAUACAUUUUCUGUUAUUUUUUUUUUAUCAAAUAUACUUUUCCUAUGAUUAAGAAUAAUCUACAGUAAAUUAAAUUAAAUGUGCCUCGAACAUCUAAUUAUAGAAUUAUAGCACGUCAGUCACAUCCCCUAGCUUUUCUCCAUCGUCUUCCUCCUUUCGAUGUGAUGACUAAAUAGGCAAUCGUUCAUUACACAAUAAAUUGUGGGUUGGAUUCGUCGUGGAAGGACCCUCGUGAUUUUUUAUUAUAUACGAAGAAAAAUACUGUUAGAUUAAUUAAUCUGAGCUCUAACUUAUACUUCCAAAACAUAAUUCCAAACACAUAAUUAACGAAGAAAAGAGACACACGUACAGAAGAAAAGGGAGGUGGAUGCUGAAAUAGAACGAUAGACAAUUCUGGUGAAGGUAAUAGAGGUUGACUGCCAGCUGCAGGUGCAUGCUAUAUAUCCUUAUUCCUCAUGCUAUUGAUUUAUUUAUAUUUAUAUAUAUGCAUGAGGUGAUACUGAUCAGCUGCAAGCGUGCGGCGCGAAUCCAAUUCUCUCAUUUCCUACAUCGUAGACUACUUCAAAUGUUCGCUGCUGCACAUUGCCAAUGAUCCCCAAGCGAUCAACUUGCUUACCAGAAAAUGCCAAGCAGUCAUGCCUGAGGAUCCCAGAUACGUUGAGAUCCAGUGUGACUCCAUCGAAGUGCAGCGCUACUUUGGGGACUGUUAUGGUCUUGUAGCCACUGAAGUCAUAACAGGUAUCAAGCAGUCCGUUAGUAGGCUUAAGAGGGUACGCCGACAUGUGCUCCCGGAACGCCGACCUCAGGGCCUCGUAGGCCGACGGCGGGAGGCGAGUGAUCGUAGUGCCGGAGUCCAAUAUCGUGCCACCGGACCUAAAAACCGAUGGCGAAAUGGCGAGCUGCUCCCCGGCCACGCUGAUUCCGAUCAGGUCAACGAAGUAAAAGCUUGGAUACUUGGAGCUGGUCUGCAUUCGAGUGUAAACGGUGUUGGAGGCGUCACUAGGUUCGCCCAGUUUUAGGAACCCCAUGUUGCUGGAAGUCGAAGGAAGGCAGUAGGAGAAGACCGAGUGGUAAAGUUGCGACGUCUGAGACACAAGCGACUGCUUGCCACGGCCGAGACCCACGAGCCCUGCGGCGUCGUGGAACAGCCCUUCGUUGUCGGUGCCGCACCCGAAGAGGAAGUGCUCGAUCACGUCGUUUGGCGACAGCGUCAGUCUGUCGUAGCUGUAGACUCCUGAACUGUUCGACCCAUCGCCGUAGGGGAUGAAAUAAGCGCAAGAGCUGGAGCAGCUGCCUCGGGGCUGACUGCAUUCCGACGAGUUGCAAGGGAUCGCGGCGUAGGAGGAUGAUUGGGAUGGGUCAAAGAUCGGCUCCUGCUGCGAGUAGCAUUUGUUGCAUGGUUUGCAUUGGAUCCAACUCAGGUCGCUCCCGGUGUCCAUCGUCACAGUCUGCUCUCGGCUGGGGGUGCCAUAGCCGACGGUGAUCACGUACUCCCCUCCUCCGAACUCCGCGGGGAUGCUUGCCAAGGAAUCAUUGAGCUGUGACUUCACGACACCCUUUAGGAGAUAAUUUACUCGAAGUUGGUCUUUAAGAAGGAUUUGUUCAGGUGAUGGCAGUUCCUUUGUCUCGAAGGGGGAGCAGGGUCCAUAUCGACUGACCAACCGUAUAGAGGUAACGUUGGAUCCUGAGAACCAUGCAUGCAUGCAUGGAAGUAUAUAUCACCACCAAUAGUCAGUAUUAAUUUUUUGUCUUUUAAGUAAUUUUACGUCAAACAAGUGCAGCAAUUUAUAAGUACAACUUCCAUCUGCUUGCUCGGUAACAUCGUGCUUCCAAUUUACAGCUUAAAGAGAUAGAGAAGGAAGUCUUAGUUAAAACUACAGAUGAUACUUUAUAACAGCAGCGCAAAUAAAACACCAAAAGUAAGAGGCAGCCGAUGUAUGAUUAACCUUUGAGCGGGGAGCAGACUGCUCCGGGAUUCAAAGAACGUCUUUGAACCUUAUGGUAGCUCUGUACUUCUCCAUUGGCAAGGUGAGAACGGUAGCUUAGGAGCAGAAACAGAACACAAGAGCUGGUUAGGAGGGCAGCUGAAGCCAUUAGUUAGCUGGGGAGAUACAAGUCUUGUGCGUAGGAGCUCUGGCUAUGCAUCCAAUUUAUAGAGAACCUUCAAUGCUACCUUCUCUCCUUGAAUCUUCAAAGCGAUGCUUUUGGUUUGGCCUCUGAUUACCACAUGCGAAAUUGAUUUAGAAGGCUGUGGACUAGUCGUUGACGUAGGACCCACUGGCUUAGUCAAGGUCAGAUUGUCCGAUCUUCGCGGAGUCACAUAAAUUUUAUCUCGUAUCCCCGUCGACGUGUGGAAGAUCCAUGGAAAUGAUAAGAUCUCCAGUCAGCUACCAGUCCGAAGCGAUGACUUGCAACGAUCCAAGGUCUUCACGUGGUGAUUUCUUCGGUUACCAGGUCCGAUGUAUCUGCCAGUAAUUAAUUCGUGGACUCAUGGCAUCCGACUGGAGUUAAUUGACAGCAAUCAUAUGGCAUGAUUCGACGUCCACAGGAUCAUUUUCCACUGUGGCUCAUGCGGAACCAGAUUGCAAAGAACAUGUCAUACCUCAGAGCUACUUCGGUCCUCCAACUACUAUGAGAAGAACUUUAGCUGGUUCACUGAUAUGAUAAGUUCUAGGCGCUGAAACAGUUGUGGGCUUAAGGAACCGACACAGGCGAUGUGAUAUUGCUGCACUUCUCUUGUUGGCCAUGUCGGAGGGUAAGGAAAAGAAGAAGAUGAGGAGGAGGAGGAGGAGGAGGAAGCAGGGUAAGACAGGGACGGCGAGGUGGCGAUUUACGAGACAGUCAAGAACUGGAUGAUUGCACCGGACAAAGUACGUCUAUAUCAUAACAGCUAAGAAACAAUGACAUGCGUUCUCGGAUUAAUUAUGGACCAUAUUAUUGAGCAAUAUCUUCUUUUGUUUCGUUUAUCAUCUUUUGCGCUUGACUAUAUCUGUGCAUUACUGAUAGCAAAUGGCCGAAAGCUGCCUGUAUUUAUAUUUCUUUCUUUUUUCGCGUUAGAUAAGGCUCAGGUACAGAAGCUAUGAAGACAAAGGGAAGGAAAAGACUGGUCACAACAAUUCGGUAAUGUAAUGUUUUUGAUAAGAAUACAAGCGAAUAGAUAUGUGUUACGUAUCGGAUUAAGCGUAUCAAAUCGAAUGAUAGAAAUCAAUAAUUUAGUUCAAACCAGCAUCAGACUGUAUAAAAAAAAAAAAGUAAUUUUUUUGAAAAAAAUUCUUCUUUUUUUUUCUGAAAAGGGAUCUCUGUUUUACUUUUUCACAAAAUGAGACUCCCUAAUUCAAAUAAUACUCAAAAUACUCACCGUCAUUGCUAAUGGUAUUUUUCUCAUCAAAUUUGUUUUGUCUAUUUUUUUAUUAGUUUCGAAUCAUUAUAGUGUUUUUAUUUGGCUCAUUUAUAAUAUUUUUCAAUAGCAUUACGGUAUUGUGAUGGUGGCAAUAAUUUUUACCCAUAUUUAGAUGAUGUUGUUAUUCAUAAAUUAUUAUUAUAGUACCUAUUUGAAUUCUAAUAUGAUAUAUUAAAUAAUUUUUAGUAUAUUUUGAUUUUAUUUGACUUGCUUAUAGUAUUUUUUUUACAACAUUAUAGGUUUUAUUAUGAUAUUAAGGAUAUUAUAAAGCUAUUGAAAAAUAUUGUAAGUAACUUCGUAUUAUGUCUCUUUGCUUAUCGUUGCUCAUAGAUUAUUACACUACCAAAUCAUGGAUGCUGAACACAUGCAUAUUUGGAGGUUUUCGAUACGCUGACGAACGAGAAAGAGCAAGGAAGAGGAGGAGGUGGUGGAGGCAACGGCGGCAGGAAAAGCAAGCAAGAGAAGCCAUUACGCUUGCAGAACUCGGUGAUCUGAGCUUGGAACGAGUGAAGGGAGUAGCUCUAAAUAGCUGUGCCUCUGCGCGUUCAAGUUUCAACGGGUGGUACAUCGCUUUCUCCCACUUGUCUUCCUCCUGUGGCCACUCGAGUCCUCUGUGGCGAUUACGUCAUGCGUCAUUGCGCAACAAAUAACGGGUUGGGUCAAGGAAGAGACCCUCGUGAUUCUUUAUGAGAUCCAAUCCACUCACGAGCAGAAAAGGAGGUGUGAUCACAUGCUGGAAGGCACUAAGAAUUAAGCCCGUAUAAUUGACUCCUGACUUGUUGUCAGACACUCUCGAGUCCCGUGGGAAGACCAUCCAAGAAGAGGCCUCAGCUUUGAAUUGGAAUCUUCUUUCUAACUUAGGCCGUGAAGCAAUGGCGACCAACCUUUGAGUUAUUCCAUAGACUAACAACUUUGUGGCUAUUUGUUUAGUAUUGGAUUAAUGGACUGAACUCAAUCGUUCCUCGCCCAAAAGAACCAUUGGCUAAUGUUACUUGAUAUGAAGGAUCCAAAGCAACCACCAAGAAAAGAAUGUCGAAAGAAGAACCACAAAGCAUUUGAGAACAAUCAUGAUCUCAAGGUGGCCUAUCACUUUCUUCUUCCUUCUUUCCUGCUAUUUCUUCUGAUAUAAUCAUGUGGAAAGACAUAAUAUAAUCCAUCUCUAAGCAGUGUGGCUCCCUGUGGAAAGACAUAAUCUAAUCCAUCUCUAAGCAGUGUGGCUCCCUGCGACAGGCUCUCUUACGUUCAUGCGUUUCUGGCUGACAUAAGUCUACGGAGACAUGAUGUUGCAGAGGUUGCAUAAUCCACCGCACCUCUCCAACAUUUCACAUGGCAAGCCCCGUUCCGUUUGUCAUGUCCUUGCUAAGCUUUUGGAAUGUUGCAGAAAACGAGCCAUGGGGUUCGUGCAAUGCUUCUCAAAUUGGAACAGUGGUGAGAAAUCUGCGGUGGCUCAGUCACUGUCGGUCGAUAGACCAUGAAAUGUUUGAAGGACUCGUAAUUCUUCCUGCAUGUGUUUAAUUUCUCCUCGGGAUAAGCCAAGCACUUGAAAAACCAUCUCCAAUGCAUAAGCUAGAUUAAGCAUCUCAUGUGGAGAUCAGGAUACCUGCAGUUUAAGGAGUGCUAAUAUCACAGACUAUACAAAUCACCCAGCUUGUGUACUAGACAUUGUCUUUCUUCUCCGAUGAGUGGUCAGACUUCCACUUCAAGUGUUGGAAGAUGUAGCCAGGGCACUUGCAAAUAACAAGUCGGGUGGUUCUUGAUGUGGAUGGUUGGAGAUGGCAUUCUCGAGGGUUGUCGAAGGAUGCAAUUUGCAUUUCGACAUGGAACAGUGAAGAUAAUGUGCUUCCUCUGGUUCAGUGGUGCCAGUGCCUCAGCUACUAGCUUUGUUGCUUGCUCAUGCCAAGAUAAGUGGGAGGAGUAGAAAAUUAGAACCAUUCAACAAAGGAGAUGAUUCUUGCAACACCACAUUUGAAGCAUGGUCAUCAUGCAUCAACCUGUGUAGUAGGUGGUGUUCUAACAUUUGCACCCCAAAAAGAAGGGUUUGACCAAUGUGCAUUGGCUGUUGCUUCAACCUCUGUUCAGAAGCAGAAAGUGUUGUGCUAGCCAUCAUUAUUAAAGAUUAUGGAUGGUAGCAUCAACCCUUUUUUGUCAGUUACAGAGAUGACUGAAUCACUAAUGCUCAGAGACUCCAGCAUGGCUGGCCAUAUGUCCAGCAAGAAAACUAUGGAGAUCAACCCAGAGAAUCCUAUCAUGGAGGAGUUGAGGAAGCGAGCAGAUGCUGACAAGAAUGACAAAUCAGUUAAGGACCUGACACUUCUGCUGUUUGAGACUGCUCUCCUCACCUCUGGUUUCUGCUUGAAUGACCCCAAUACUAUUGGCAACAGGAUCCACCGAAUGCUGAAAUUAGGUCUCAGCAUCGAUGAGGAUGAAAAGGUUGAAGACACUGACAUGCCUACGCUUGAGGAUGCUGCUGAUGCCGAAGAGAGUAAGAUGGAGGAAAUGGACUAAUCUGGAUCAAGUUGGCUUUCUGUAUUCUGCUGCUUCUCUUGCAAUUUUUUGGUGUGCUUUUCAUAUAUGCACUAACUAUGUAGACGGCCUUCAUCACCUUUUGCCAAAGAGAUCUUUAUAACUGUUGUCUAUGCAUGCAUGGAUAAUUCAUGUUCUAUGUUAACAAGUCUAUGGUUUGAAUGUCGAUUUAGCAUGGUUGACAUUUCAUUUUUAUAGUCCUGUCUUGUGGCAAGAAGCUGCAUGAAAACAGAAUCAUGUCUAAGUUUGUCUUGAUAGUAAAUGCCAUGUUCCAGAGUAAGAUUUUGCUUUCAUUAAUUCGAGUUCGAUCGAUCAUGGAGCAUUUGGUUAUCGGAGUUCUAGAUGUUUUGCUUUGAUCAUUAGCUACGCAAUGGAAGUCAUGUGUGAAUUGUGAUGAUAUAAAUAAGAAGCUGCUGAAGAAUGACUGCCAAAUUCAACUUUACGGACAAAAGAGACAGACAUACUGAUAAUAGAUUCGGAGGAACAGAAUCUAUACUAUGUGAACAUACUGACUCCGGGUGUCUUCAUUUUGUCACCCAUUGUUCUUAUUGAUGCAGAAAACAAAGAGCAGGUGGUUGCGUGGUGAAUCAAUCAGCUGCAAGCCUGCGGCACAAAUCCAAUCCUCUCGUUUCCUAGAUCAUAGACCACUUCAAACGUUUGCUGCUGCACGUUGCCGAUGAUACCGAACCUACCGCCCUUAUAUCCAGUAAAAGCCAAGCAGCCAUGCAUGAGGAUCCCAGAUAUGUCGAGAUCCAUUGUGACUCCAUCGAAGAGCAGCGCUACUUUCGGGACUGUUAUGGUCUCGUAGCCGCUGAAGUCAUAACAGGUAUCGAGUACUCGCGUAGGAGGCGCAGCGGGGUACUGGGACAUGUAGCACCGGAACGCAGACCUCAGUGCUCCGUAGGCCGACGCCGGGAGGCGAGUGAUGGUAGUGCCGGAGUCGAUGAUCGUGCCACGGGACGAGAAAACCGAUGGCGAAAUGUCCAGUUGCUGCCCACCGACACUGAUUCCGAUCAGGUCAAGGAAGUAAAAGCUUGGAUGAUUGGAGCUGGUCUGCAUUCGAGUGUAAACGGUGUUGGAGGCGUCACCAGGUUCGCCCAGUUUCAGGAACCCGGUGGAGCUGGGAGUCGAAGGAAGGCAGUAGGAGAAGACCGACUGGUAAACUUGCGACGUUUGAGACACCAGAGAGCGCUUGCCGCGGCCGAGGCCC